This 693-nucleotide long non-coding RNA is filed under the name Gallus gallus (chicken). Lineage: Eukaryota; Metazoa; Chordata; Aves; Galliformes; Phasianidae. The record is from RNAcentral.
UGAGCAGUGGGGUGAUGAUCAAAACCCAUGGAUUGUGUCAUUUUGGGUGAAGAACAGUACACCUGUGACCCGGCUGUGCUCAGGCAGCCAUGGGUAUGGAGUAAUGAUAACAAAAAGAUAGCCUCCAGAUACUCAUCACAUGCCAACAGGAUUACGGAGCAUAAACAUUCAACACAGCUUCUUAUUUCAUCAAGCUGAACCUGCUGAUGAAGACUUCUUCCUACAGCUAUGGGAGGCAUUGCAAUUGCAGGCUCUUCUCCUGCUGGGAGACUUCAACCACCCUAACAUCUCCUGGAAAAGUAGCACAGCAAGCUGUAGGCAAUCCAGAACUCUCCAGGAAUCUAUCAAGGAUAACCUCUUGAACCAAGUAAAAGACAGGGAGUUGGAUAGGAUGACCUUUAAAGAUCUGUUCCAACUCAAACAAUUAUAUGGUUCUAUGAUUAUAUGUUUAACACCUCAAUUCUUUUACAACUAUUUUGCACCUUAUCGAUUGCAGAUUAACAGUAGGAGUUCUCCUUUUAUUGAUAUAUUUUCCUGUCUCAACUUUAUGAACCAGUAUGAAAUUCUCCCAUUUACAUCUCUUGUGUGGUGUCCUUUGCACUUGUUUUACUAUAACAGAUUGCAUUUCUCUAACUUCCAGAUCAAGUUAACUGAAGCUACGUGUAUAUUUCUGUGUAUUAAAUCCUAAUUCCC